GUUAUACUAUGUUUUUAGGUAUACCAACUGUUUUUGUACUAUCUAGGCAUAUACAUGUCUGUAGUAUGACUGAAUACAUCCGUUUAGUAAUGCAUCUAAGCGAGAUGUGUUAUAUACAUAUAUUGUAAGGCUACAAAUACGAUACACAAGACUUUUGUUGUAUGCAUGCAGAGAGUGGGAGUUUUGUUGCAUACAAAUAUUAUUAAUUAUCUAAAAAACUUCCACUCUCCAAGCGUCUCCCAACUAAUGUUCAAUACAUGUAUAUAUUACA
Molecule: long non-coding RNA, 271 nt
Organism: Chrysoperla carnea
Lineage: Eukaryota; Metazoa; Arthropoda; Insecta; Neuroptera; Chrysopidae
Exons: 3
Source: RefSeq, a predicted model, not a curated record